CCUGGAUGCCAAUUUUUUACACGUAAGAAAGGUUUCUGCGUGAGAUUAUUUCAUGCCUUCAUCCCUUCACCCACGCCCCCUUAUCCAUGCUAACACCCUCUUCUCAUUGCUCCUCAUGGUUGGAUAAAGAAGUUUUAAAUUUGAUUUAAAACUAUCCUUAUUAAGAAGAGGUUGUUUCCAUCUUAACCAAAAUAUAUUUGAUGCCUACCUUAAAAAGGGAUCGAUUUUUGCAUUGAGAAAAAGAUCUCCCU
RNAcentral lists this long non-coding RNA (251 nucleotides) under Elaeis guineensis (African oil palm). RNAcentral's name for it is "long non-coding RNA (EGUI_LNC021284)". The record is from RNAcentral. Lineage: Eukaryota; Viridiplantae; Streptophyta; Magnoliopsida; Arecales; Arecaceae.